UACGGAGGGUGCAAGCGUUGUCCGGAUUUAUUGGGUUUAAAGGGUGCGUAGGCGGCUAUUUAAGUCAGUGGUGAAAGACUCCGGCUCAACCGGAGCAGUGCCAUUGAUACUGGAUAGCUUGAGUAUUGGAGGGGUACAUGGAAUUGAUGGUGUAGCGGUGAAAUGCAUAGAUACCAUCAGGAACACCGAUAGCGAAGGCAUUGUACUGGCCAAUAACUGACGCUGAUGCACGAAAGCAUGGGUAGCGAACAGG
Molecule: ribosomal RNA, 253 nt
Filed under: uncultured bacterium
Lineage: Bacteria
Also listed under: 1 other name
Description: partial 16S ribosomal RNA
Rfam family: Bacterial small subunit ribosomal RNA
Source: RNAcentral